GACGAACGCUGGCGGCGUGCUUAACACAUGCAAGUCGAACGAUGAAGCCUUCGGGUGGAUUAGUGGCGAACGGGUGAGUAACACGUGGUGAUUUGCCCUGCACUUUGGGAUAAGCCUGGGAAACUGGGUCUAAUACCGAAUAUGAUCAUGCUCUUCAUGGGGUGUGGUGGAAAGCUUUUGCGGUGUGGGAUGGGCCCGCGGCCUAUCAGUUUGUUGGUGGGGUAAUGGCCUACCAAGGCUACGACGGGUAGCCGGCCUGAGAGGGUGAACGGCCACACUGGGACGGAGAUACGGCCCAGACGCGUACGGGAGGCAUGAGUGGGGAAUAUUGCGCAAUGGGCGCAAGCCGGAUGCAGAGACGCCGCGUGGGGGAUGACGGCCUUCGGGUUGUAGACCGCUUUCAGCAGGGACGAAGCGCAAGUGACGGUACCUGCAGAAGAAGGACCGGCCAACUACGUGCCAGCCGCCGCGGUAA
Molecule: ribosomal RNA, 475 nt
Filed under: uncultured bacterium
Lineage: Bacteria
Description: partial 16S ribosomal RNA
Rfam family: Bacterial small subunit ribosomal RNA
Source: RNAcentral